ACGCCGUAAACGAUGUCGACUUGGAGGUUGUGCCCUUGAGGCGUGGCUUCCGGAGCUAACGCGUUAAGUCGACCGCCUGGGGAGUACGGCCGCAAGGUUAAAACUCAAAUGAAUUGACGGGGGCCCGCACAAGCGGUGGAGCAUGUGGUUUAAUUCGAUGCAACGCGAAGAACCUUACCUGGUCUUGACAUCCACAGAACUUUCCAGAGAUGGAUUGGUGCCUUCGGGAACUGUGAGACAGGUGCUGCAUGGCUGUCGUCAGCUCGUGUUGUGAAAUGUUGGGUUAAGUCCCGCAACGAGCGCAACCCUUAUCCUUUGUUGCCAGCGGUCCGGCCGGGAACUCAAAGGAGACUGCCAGUGAUAAACUGGAGGAAGGUGGGGAUGACGUCAAGUCAUCAUGGCCCUUACGACCAGGGCUACACACGUGCUACAAUGGCGCAUACAAAGAGAAGCGACCUCGCGAGAGCAAGCGGACCUCAUAAAGUGCGUCGUAGUCCGGAUUGGAGUCUGCAACUCGACUCCAUGAAGUCGGAAUCGCUAGUAAUCGUGGGAUCAGAAUGCCACGGUGAAUACGUUCCCGGGCCCUUGUACACACCGCCCGUCACACCAUGGGAGUGGGUUGCAAAAGAAGUAGGUAGCUUAACCCUUCGGGAGGGCGCUUACCACUUUGUGAUUCAUGACUGGGGUGAAGUCGUACAGGUUAAACCGUAAA
RNAcentral lists this ribosomal RNA (712 nucleotides) under Escherichia coli. RNAcentral describes it as "bacterial SSU rRNA". It matches the Rfam family "Bacterial small subunit ribosomal RNA", at positions 797 to 1506 of the family's 1533-position model. The record is from RNAcentral. Lineage: Bacteria; Pseudomonadati; Pseudomonadota; Gammaproteobacteria; Enterobacterales; Enterobacteriaceae.